AACACCCACAAACAACGUCACGACGCAACGUGGUUAAACAGUACGUUUAUUAAAGUAACUGGGUGAACGACACCGGAGCGGACUGCAAAUCGCAACGCUACUUUCUCGAGUGCAGAUACUCUUCGAGACGGCUAAACAACGUGUCCAACUCGCUGAGACCUUUCCGCGUGCCGUUAUCCGAUUUCCUUUCCGCCUCCUGAGACAGCCGACUAAUCACGGACUUAUCUCCGCAACCUAACAGAGGCUGGGAGCCCGACAAAAGUAAAACAGCGUGCUAUGAACACGUUGUUACCUCUGCGCGGACAGCGCCGCCACAGAGACACUUACGCAUUGCCGCAUGUCUUUGUAGAUGGAUUCUAGCGUCGAGCGCAUACUAUGCAAUUCCGUCUUGAGUCCGGGAUAGACGUGGUCGCCUGCGGGGAACACGAUCUCCAGAUACCGCCUCAACAACCAGUCCAUGACGCUGCAUCCCCAACAGCCUUUGACCACCGUACCGUCGAGCCACACGGAGUAGUCGUCCUCACGUUGCUACAAGAGGAAAACUACGUCACCCGACACGCGGAAAAGAAAGACCGUCGCAAUAAACCGUACCUACGUGACCUACCAACGUAGGUUUUACUCGAUGAAAGGUGACGCGGAGAUCUUGCAAUCUGGUCGCGUAAUCCUCUGGACGACACUGCGGCUUUGUAUUCUUUAUCGUCGCCGGCUUCGCCUCCUCGGAAGCGCCUAGAAAAAAGACGAUCAGGACCAGAGAGGAAGAGACCAUCACCGACAGCAUCGCCGCAGCAUGCCGCCCCAGUCCGCCGCCCAACUGCGCGUCCCAGGUACCACCCGUAGACUGUCAGCCUUGCGAGGAAACACCGCGGACCGGGGAAACGGAUAAGUUUACGAACAGAAAUUUCAAGAGAAAGACACUGACCCGAUAAGUACCGUCACGGAGACACGGUGGUUUUUAUUGAAUUUCCAGUGUAUCGAGCCACCGUGAUGCAGGUACGGUGGUUUUAUGUAAAGUGCCGCUAUCUAUAGGCGAUGUGUUCCCUGACGGUGUGUGUUUUUUUGGGGAUAGACAACGUGGUUCUUGUACGUGGUUUUUACCCUGCUCAAUAAAGUCACGUUUUCCUUACACGGUGUUGUGUC
Molecule: small RNA, 1137 nt
Filed under: Human betaherpesvirus 5
Lineage: Duplodnaviria; Heunggongvirae; Peploviricota; Herviviricetes; Herpesvirales; Orthoherpesviridae
Description: RNA5.0
Source: RNAcentral